RNAcentral lists this ribosomal RNA (305 nucleotides) under uncultured bacterium. RNAcentral describes it as "bacterial SSU rRNA". It matches the Rfam family "Bacterial small subunit ribosomal RNA", at positions 337 to 634 of the family's 1533-position model. The record is from RNAcentral.
GCCUACGGGGGGCAGCAGUAGGGAAUCUUCCACAAUGGGCGAAAGCCUGAUGGAGCAACGCCACGUGGGUGAAGAAGGUCUUCGGAUCGUAAAACCCUGUUGUUAGAGAAGAAAGUGCGUGAGAGUAACUGUUCACGUUUCGACGGUAUCUAACCAGAAAGCCACGGCUAACUACGUGCCAGCAGCCGCGGUAAUACGUAGGUGGCAAGCGUUAUCCGGAUUUAUUGGGCGUAAAGGGAACGCAGGCGGUCUUUUAAGUCUGAUGUGAAAGCCUUCGGCUUAACCGGAGUAGUGCAUUGGAAGCU